Gigantopelta aegis is the source of this 4014-nucleotide long non-coding RNA. RefSeq lists it as uncharacterized. The transcript is spliced from 3 exons. The record is from RefSeq and is a predicted model, not a curated record. Lineage: Eukaryota; Metazoa; Mollusca; Gastropoda; Neomphalida; Peltospiridae.
GACAGCGUGUUUCCUCUCUGUCUGUGUGGUCCUUAACCAUAUUAAGUCCGACACCAUAUAACCAUAAAUAAAAUAAUGUGUUAACUGCGUCGUUAAAUAAAACAUUUCCUUCCUUCUAUUAUUGUGCAUUUUCAGCACCUCAACAUUUUCUCAGGGAAGCAUGUCUCCAAACCCCCUUUGGGUCAUCAAUAUUCCACCCUCGUUCCAUUGUACUGACAGUGGCCUCCACCCACCAACUUUGAAAAGGACUGCAGGCCUUGAAACACACAGAGGGCCACCAUCAUAUUACAUGUACACAUGUACAUACAUACAUAAUAUACCCCUUUCAAAAUUUAAAAAAUAAAAAAUAAAAAAUAAAUUCAUUGGGUUCAAUUUACGGAAGACUGUUUAUCUUAUAAACUGGAUGAGGUGUGUGUGCGUGUGUGGUCUGAUUGUUUCUUCCAGUGCUUCUGUGGCUUGCAUUUAGGGCAUACACACCAACUGCGUUCAGGUGGACUGCAUACAUUUUGCAGAUGCGCACAUCGCACACAUCAAGUCUAGGCGCUCUCGUUGAAACUAAUGUAUUUCAGGGGUGGUGGUUUCUAGACCACAUGCCAUGUGCCACAUUCAGUCUAUACGAGACUAGUGUGUUUAGCUACAUGCGUAUAAAACAAAAACAGUCUGUAAAUUCAGGUUAUCUGGUAAACACUGCAUUGUCAGAGUAUGUGGAAGUUCAAGGAAGGGGUGCACACCGAGAGCAUCCUCCCCGUGGAUCCAUAUAGCAUGAUGGGGUGCACACGGAGAGCAUCCUCCCCGUGGAUCCAUAUAGCAUGAUGGGGUGCACACACCGAGAGCAUCCUCCCCGUGGAUCCAUAUAGCAUGAUGGGGUGCACACACCGAGAGCAUCCUCCCCGUGGAUCCAUAUAGCAUGAUGGGGUGCACACACCGAGAGCAUCCUCCCCGUGGAUCCAUAUAGCAUGAUGGGGUGCACACACCGAGAGCAUCCUCCCCGUGGAUCCAUAUAGCAUGAUGGGGUGCACACACCGAGAGCAUCCUCCCCGUGGAUCCAUAUAGCAUGAUGGGGUGCACACGGAGAGCAUCCUCCCCGUGGAUCCAUAUUGCAUGAUGGUGACUGAUGUCAGGGUAUGUGGAAGUUCAAGGAAGGGGUGCACACGGAGAGCAUCCUCCCCAUGGAUCCAUAUAGCAUGAUGGUGACUGAUGUCAGGGUAUGUGGAAGUUCAAGGAAGGGGUGCACACGGAGAGCAUCCUCCCCGUGGAUCCAUAUAGCAUGAUGGUGACUGAUGUCAGGGUAUGUGGAAGUUCAAGGAAGGGGUGCACACGGAGAGCAUCCUCCCCAUGGAUCCAUAUAGCAUGAUGGUGACUGAUGUCAGGGUAUGUGGAAGUUCAAGGAAGGGGUGCACACGGAGAGCAUCCUCCCCGUGGAUCCAUAUAGCAUGAUGGUGACUGAUGUCAGGGUAUGUGGAAGUUCAAGGAAGGGGUGCACACUGAGAGCAUCCUCCCCGUGGAUCCAUAUAGCAUGAUGGUGACUGAUGUCAGGGUAUGUGGAAGUUCAAGGAAGGGGUGCACACGGAGAGCAUCCUCCCCGUGGAUCCAUAUUGCAUGAUGGUGACUGAUGUCAGGGUAUGUGGAAGUUCAAGGAAGGGGUGCACACGGAGAGCAUCCUCCCCAUGGAUCCAUAUAGCAUGAUGGUGACUGAUGUCAGGGUAUGUGGAAGUUCAAGGAAGGGGUGCACACGGAGAGCAUCCUCCCCGUGGAUCCAUAUAGCAUGAUGGUGACUGAUGUCAGGGUAUGUGGAAGUUCAAGGAAGGGGUGCACACGGAGAGCAUCCUCCCCAUGGAUCCAUAUAGCAUGAUGGUGACUGAUGUCAGGGUAUGUGGAAGUUCAAGGAAGGGGUGCACACGGAGAGCAUCCUCCCCAUGGAUCCAUAUAGCAUGAUGGUGACUGAUGUCAGGGUAUGUGGAAGUUCAAGGAAGGGGUGCACACGGAGAGCAUCCUCCCCGUGGAUCCAUAUUGCAUGAUGGUGACUGAUGUCAGGGUAUGUGGAAGUUCAAGGAAGGGGUGCACACGGAGAGCAUCCUCCCCAUGGAUCCAUAUAUCAUGAUGGUGACUGAUGUCAGGGUAUGUGGAAGUUCAAGGAAGGGGUGCACACGGAGAGCAUCCUCCCCGUGGAUCCAUAUAGCAUGAUGGUGACUGAUGUCAGGGUAUGUGGAAGUUCAAGGAAGGGGUGCACACGGAGAGCAUCCUCCCCAUGGAUCCAUAUAGCAUGAUGGUGACUGAUGUCAGGGUAUGUGGACGUUCAAGGAAGGGGUGCACACCGAGAGCAUCCUCCCCGUGGAUCCAUAUAGCAUGAUGGUGACUGAUGUCAGGGUAUGUGGACGUUCAAGGAAGGGGUGCACACCGAGAGCAUCCUCCCCGUGGAUCCAUAUAGCAUGAUGGUGACUGAUGACAGGGUAUGUGGAAGUUCAAGGAAGGGGUGCACACACCGAGAGCAUCCUCCCCGUGGAUCCAUAUUGCAUGAUGGUGACUGAUGUCAGGGUAUGUGGACGUUCAAGGAAGGGGUGCACACCGAGAGCAUCCUCCCCGUGGAUCCAUAUAGCAUGAUGGUGACUGAUGUCAGGGUAUGUGGAAGUUCAAGGAAGGGGUGCACACCGAGAGCAUCCUCCCCGUGGAUCCAUAUAGCAUGAUGGUGACUGAUGUCAGGGUAUGUGGAAGUUCAAGGAAGGGGUGCACACGGAGAGCAUCCUCCCCAUGGAUCCAUAUAGCAUGAUGGUGACUGAUGUCAGGGUAUGUGGAAGUUCAAGGAAGGGGUGCACACCGAGAGCAUCCUCCCCAUGGAUCCAUAUUGCAUGAUGGUGACUGAUGACUUAGUAACUUAGCCAGGACUUCUAAAAUGUUUAUAAAAUCCACUAGUCAAGGGAUCAAUGGUUUUUAAAAUUUACAAGCCAUGAUUAAAAAUUCACUAGCCCUACUUUACUUUUAGUUAAUACAGUUUUACUAAAUAAUAAUAAUAAUAAUGAGAUAUAUCACCUAAAGAAGAAGAUAGAGCAUAAAAACACUAACAUUGGAGGGUUGGGGUGGAGGUACGAUAUUCAUAUAAACAAAAUAGACUUUAAUUGCAACAUUUGACCUCUCUUUUUUCACUAUCUGUCGGGCAAGACAAUAGUAGUUAUUUACUAGCCCAAUUGACUAUUUCUAGCCAUGGGAGUGGGGCUACCAUAGCCCAGAAGCCCUGCCUUAGCCAUCAACAAAAUAACUACUAUAAAACAGAUUUAUGUUUGAUCAGAUUUGAUGAUUAAUUUAUACGAUCCCCCAUCUGUGAACAUAUUAUCAUGGUUUUAGAUCUCACUAGUUUAGACAUACAUUUUUGUGUCUCUUCUGAGAACAGUGAGGUCUUUUUGAAGCAUUAAAGAUAUCCACAAAUGCAUUUCAGAUUAUUAGUCCACUACUGGUCCAACUGGAGGAGACUACAGGUUUUAUCAUCAUCCUUCAGUCUGUCUGUCUGUCUGUCCCACAUAUAGAUUUCCAGAUGGUUUUUUACCCACAAUGUCUCAAGAUAUUGAGCUGAAAUUUGGUGUAUAGCUUUAUCAUGUACUGUUACAGAUCAAGUUUGACUUUCAUGGCGAUUUACCCAUUUGUGACAGAGUUAUGCCCCUUGAACUUAGGACACAAAUUUAGUUUCCUGGACAGAUUUUUUCAAUGACUUAGGUAUUUAGCUUAGUAACUGGUUUAACGUGUCCAUAUACCACUAGAGUUUCGAACACGCCUAUCCCGAUUCCGGCCUCCGAUAGGAUUGGGGGUCUGACUCAGGACAGGGGUAAGCUAACAAAUAGGGGAAAUUUUGAAUAUUAACGCCAAAAAUAUAAAAAGUUGAGAAUUGGGGUUAAAAAGUUUUGGCUGCGCCCUUAAAGAAAAAUAUCCUAACCUAUAUAAAUUAUUAAUAUAAUAUAUUUUCGUCGCAAAUUUAGAUGGGCUGGUCUAAAAUUAAUAAUAAUUCUUAAACAAUAUUCAUUAAGC